CUCGGUAUUGCAUCGACAUCCCUUGUUAGGUAGUUAGCCAAAUUUUGCCAUGGAUAGCUGGAAUCGUCUCCUGGAAGUAAUUUUCACGUGCAAGGUCGGUGGAUUUGCUUCUAAAAGCUAAACCCCCAAAUUCAACCCACCCAAUUUCAUCGAAAAUGGCAACUUCAAGUUUUCCCCCUUCUUUUUCAUCCCUCUCCGUAAUUCUUCCCCUUCAGAAUCAUACACCCAACAAAUUUUUAUCAUUCCCUUCGAAGCUUUCGAAACCCCACUUGCAAUUCCACAGAAUCUGCUGCGGAAUGCCUGAGACUGGGGUUCGGCAAAACCCCACAAGCGGCGGAGCUUCCACUUCCAGGAACAGCACGGAGAUGUACAAUAUGACUAUGAAGAAGAUGAUGAAGAACCCUUAUGAGUAUCACCAUGAACUGGGUAUGAACUAUACUGUGAUAGCUGACAAUUUGAUUGUCGGUUCCCAGCCUCAAAAACCCAAAGAUAUCGAUUUCUUGAAGGAGGAAGAAGGUGUUGCCUAUAUUCUGAAUUUACAGCAGGACAAGGAUGUUGAGUAUUGGGGAGUCGACUUACGAUCAAUUAUAGAAAGAUGUAAAGAACUUGGAAUUCAUCAUAUGAGGAAACCGGCAAGAGAUUUUGAUCCAGAUUCCAUGAGAAAUGGAUUACCUAAAGCUGUUUCCUUGCUAGAAUGGGCGAUCUCGGAGGGUAAAGGAAAAGUUUAUGUCCAUUGCACCGCUGGACUAGGAAGGGCUCCUGCCGUUGCAAUAGCUUACUUGUUCUGGUUUUGUGGAAUGAAUUUAAAUACCGCAUAUGAAGCACUGACCUCGAAGCGACCUUGUGGACCGAGUAAAAGAGCGAUUCGUGGAGCCACAUACGAUCUAUGUAAAACAGAUCAAUGGAAGGAGCCAUUCGAGAGCCUUCCCGACAAUGCAUUUGAAGGUGUUGCAGAUUGGGAGAGAAACUUGAUUCAGGAUCGGGUCCGCUCUCUCCGCAAAACUUGAGUAAUUGUGCAUCGUUUUCCCUUUGCUUACUUGGUCCUGAAACUUCCUAGUUUGAGUUGAAAUUUUAUAAGGUCUUCUAGGGGCAAUUUGGUUUAAGGUUUCGAGAAAUAUCCAUCGGUCAAGGAAUAAGAUGUUUGGGAAUCAAAGAUAACUGUUUUUGGUUAGCUCUAUUUGGACUAUCAUGAUUUCGACCUGGAAUUGGUCGAGGAAAUCAAAAUAGGUAGUUGUUCGUGGUAAAACAUGAAGGUUCGAUAAUGUUCGGUAUUACUAGGAUGAUGGAUUGGACAACAAAUGUAGCAAUAAGGUGACACAAUUUGCUAUAUUGCAUAAAUGUCAAUCUGUAUAGAACACUAAAAUGAUUCAAAGUAAUAUAUAGUGGUGUUAAUGGUACUUUUGGAUCAAA
This is an RNA transcript of Momordica charantia (bitter melon), 1410 nucleotides long. It is a transcript of the gene named dual specificity protein phosphatase (DsPTP1) family protein, with no coding region annotated. Lineage: Eukaryota; Viridiplantae; Streptophyta; Magnoliopsida; Cucurbitales; Cucurbitaceae. The record is from RefSeq and is a predicted model, not a curated record.